GAUGAACGCUAGCGGCAGGCUUAACACAUGCAAGUCGAGGGGCAGCAUGACACGGAGAUUCGUCGAAGUGUUGAUGGCGACCGGCGCAAGGGUGCGUAACGCGUGAGCAACUUGCCCGUUUCAGGGGGAUAACCGGUGGAAACGCCGACUAAUACCCCAUAGUAUGUUUUUAAGGCAUCUUUUAAACAUUAAAGAACUUCGGAAACGGAUAGGCUCGCGUGACAUUAGCUAGAUGGCGGGUAACGGCCCACCAUGGCGACGAUCUUUAGGGGUUCUGAGAGGAAGGUCCCCCACACUGGUACUGAGACACGGACCAGACUCCUACGGGAGGCAGCAGUGAGGAAUAUUGGUCAAUGGGCGGAAGCCUGAACCAGCCAAGUAGCGUGAAGGAUUACAGCCCUACGGGUUUUAAACUCUUUUGCAAGGGAGCAAUAAGGCGUACGUGUACGUCGAUGAGAGUACCUUGCGAAUAAGCAUCGGCUAACUCCGUGCCAGCAGCCGCGGU
RNAcentral lists this ribosomal RNA (505 nucleotides) under uncultured bacterium. Its description in RNAcentral is "bacterial SSU rRNA". It matches the Rfam family "Bacterial small subunit ribosomal RNA", at positions 28 to 521 of the family's 1533-position model. The record is from RNAcentral.